RNAcentral lists this transfer RNA (75 nucleotides) under bacterium. RNAcentral describes it as "tRNA-Ala". It matches the Rfam family "tRNA". From Rfam's summary of the family: Transfer RNA (tRNA) molecules are approximately 80 nucleotides in length. Their secondary structure includes four short double-helical elements and three loops (D, anti-codon, and T loops). The record is from RNAcentral. RNAcentral also lists the same sequence under 4 other names.
GGGGAUGUAGCUCAGUGGAAGAGCGCUUCUCUGGCAGGGAAGAGGUCGUGGGUUCAAGUCCCAUCAUCUCCACCA